Molecule: long non-coding RNA, 7508 nt
Filed under: Canis lupus familiaris (dog)
Lineage: Eukaryota; Metazoa; Chordata; Mammalia; Carnivora; Canidae
Description: lncRNA (ENSCAFG00000053054.1)
Source: RNAcentral
AUAUAUCACUGAGUCCAUGUCUUUACCCUGACCCCAGCCUUUUUCUUGCUUACGUAGCAGGCCGGAACAAAGAUGUCAUAUUUAUUGUCAUUUGAUACAUAAAAAGAAUUUGUGUAUUUAUUUAUUUAUUUUUUAAAGAUUUUAUUUAUUCAUGAGAGAAAGAGAGAGAGGCAGAGACACAGGCAGAGGGAGAAGCAGGCUCCAUGCAGGGAGCCUGAUGUGGGGCUUGAUCCUGGGACUCCAGGAUCACGCCCUGGGCUGAAGGCAGGCACCAAACCACUGAGCCACCCAAGGAUCCCCAGAAUUUGUGUCUUUAAUGUGAAGAUGUAAUUUACGUGUUUUUAUAAUAUAAGGAUAAGAGAAGUAGAAGGUAUUGUAUGUUUCUUCAAACUCCACAAGUAAGCCUAAGUUGCUUUUUUUAAUGUGGCAUUUAGCAGCAUUUUCUUACAUUAUAUGUUAAUAGUCUGGGUUUGGAGAAAUACCCCCAAGGAGGAAAGGAUGUGUGGGAAUAGAGUAAUUGAGGCACAGAAGCCUGUUUCAGAUGUGCUUUUUACUACUGACUGAGAGUCUCUUAGAGUUACUGAAGAUGAAAGUGUGGAUUGUGGUUUCUAAUUCAUCUUCUUUUCUCCUUGUUAUUGGUACAAAGAGGAGGAACAAGACAAAUCCUGUGAGGAUGAGGAAAGGCACCUAUUUUUCUAUUUGCUCUACAUUUGGGCUUAAAUUGCUGCAAAGUCAUUCCCUGGGGGAAUUCUGGAGUAACUGCAGGUUACUAAUAAAUACUCCCCACUUUGAUUUCUGCAGCCUCAGCAUUUUCAGCCCCAUAAGAGAUGCUCUGAACAAGCAAAUGUGAUUUUAAGUUAGCUCCAAAAUAUGUCCCGAUAUGUGGGAACUAUUUUUAAGACAACAGCAAGGACCUGACAGACUGCUAUUUGCUGGAAUGUGAAUUGCCUCACAUCUCUUUUGACCUUGCCCCACAAUGAGGCUGCAUCAAGCUAUCAUUGUCCCUUGGGACAACAUAUUUUGCAUUGUACUGUGCAUUAGUGCUCCCCUGAAAGAUGCUGGCCAUUUUUAAGCUGUAUAAUGGGGAAGAGAAAGUGGAUGGCAAAACGGAGAACUGGGAAAAGAGGCAAGGGCCCCACAAGGGAAAAAGAAACAAAAAAACUGCAAAAUGAAACAAGAGUAAAAGAGCAAGAGGAUAAAAUAGAGUGACAAAUAACACUUACUAUAUACACUUACAUCUGUCAAUCAAUCGUCUAUCAUCUAUCACUGAUUUAUCUAACAAUAAUCUAUCAUCUACCUGUUGAUUAUGUAUCUAUGUAUCUAUCAUGUAGGAGGCAGGAGGAAGAAUGGUAUAUUUGAGCUGAAGCAAAUCAGAAUAGUAAAAGUCAUCUUUAUAGUUCUUUUGUCAAACAGGGUGAAUGCCAAGAAAGUCUAGUUGGGGGUGGGAGGUUUCUCUUCUUUACUCUCAGCCAUCCCUCUCCCCUAGCUUUCUCUGUCCUCAUCAAAACCAGAUGCUAAGUUUGAAAACAGGAUUAUGAAGACUAUUUAAAAUACUUAAGGGAAACUAGGUUUGUCACCAAAGACUUUGCCAGGUACAAAACAAACUGAAAAACAAGGUGUUUGGAAUGAAGCCAGGUAACCUUGGCAGGUAGGGGUGGGUACGGGUAGCUUGGGUAUUAUAGUUCACUCAAAGGGACUAGGACAGAAAGGAUCACCAGUGUUCUUUUUUUUUUUUAAUUUUAUAUAUUUAUUCAUAAGAGACAUACAGAGAGAGAGGCAGAACAUAGGCAGAGGGAGAAGCAGGCUCCUCACAGGGAGCCCGAUCUGGGACUCGAUCCCCAAACUGGGAUCACGCCCUGAGCCAAAGGCAGAUGCUCAACCACUGAGCCACCCAGGCGUCCCAGGAUCUCCAGUGUUAAUAUCAAUGAGAGGCCCUAAAGUACAACCAGCGCACCUCUAGGUGUUCAAUCAUCUAACUAGAUAUUUGGAUAUAACUCCAAUGAAUCCAAUGCAAAACAUUUAGUGAGCGACCUUGGUAAUAGGUCCACAGGAGGGAGAAUGAUGAGGAAGCUUUAAAUCAUGCUAUGAAGAAUUGAUGAAGGAAUUAGAAAUAUUUAGAUUAGAAUAGGAAAGACUCUUGGGGACUGCGAUAUAUGAAAUACCUGCGGGGUUUUCAUGGAAAGGAAGAGCGAAAUUUAUUCUGCUCUAUUCUAGACUGAUGUUUCUGAAACUUUUCAUUGGAACUCAUCUGAGUGGACAAUACUCCUCUAGUAGACCAUGUCAAGGUGGCUCCUAGCUGGAUAGGAGAACUGAUGGAGGCAACGAAGGUGGUAGUUACAUCUCUACAGAAAAAUGAACUUCCUAUUGAUGAAAGUUCUGAUAAUGAAUUGAAUUGCUUUGGUAGGUAGUGAGCUCCUUGACACUCAUGGUGUUCAAGCUGAAGCUUAAUGACUUUCUGGUGGGAAGAGACUAUAAUAAUAUUUCCAAGUUUCCAGUAUUUUUAUAAUUCUUCUGGACAAAAGACACCAAAUAUGUUUUUAAAAAGCCUUUGGAUCAGUAAGUGUUCAAGAAAAAUCACGGAUUGGGUGAUUACUAUGUGCAGCAUACUGUGAUCUGAAAGGAAAGAGAAGCUCCAUUUCAGGCUAGAUACAGAUUAAACAAGAACAGUCAAUCUAUGCUGGACAUGUGGCUCAAGAAAUCAACUGAGUAUCAGUUGCACUCACAUGAGCCUGAGAAUGAAGAACAAGGAUAGCAUAGUUUUUUUUUAAUUUAAAAUCAAUUACAGGUAAAUUUUGUAAUGAAAAAAAUUUGUGCAUUUUGUCCAAGAGGGAAUUAGUUCUCUUUAAAAGCAGGCAGUAUGCCAAGCACUUUAUGCACACACCAAAUUUCAAAAUUCUUAUAACUACCCUGUGAGGUGGGUUACUCAUUAAAGACGUGACAAAGCCAGGAUUCCAGGCUGGUAGGAUGUUAAAGAAUUUUUUUUUCUUUUUUUUCCCAUUCUCCACUGUGUCCUACCUCUCUUUAUACUUGCCUUGAUCAUAGCAUGUGGCACAUUGUACUAUUGUCAUCACUUUCUUGACUCAUCUCCUCCUUACUUGAGGACAGGCAUCCUUUUAUGUCUUGUAUCACUAGCACUUUUCAUGGGUACUAGUGUACAGUUAACGUUGCAUAAGAGUUUGUGAGUAAUAAUUGUGUGUGAGGGGGAAGAGGCAGACACACAAGAACUAACUUUAGAAGGCUGGAGUGAAAAGGAGACCAGAAAAAUGAUUUUAGUGCCAAUGACAUUUUUAUCAUCAAAUGAUAUAAAGAUUUCUCUUCUACUCACUGUGAUCUAAUGAAUUCACCACAAGCCACAUGUGCCUCGUUAAGUAUAAAUUAAUUCUAAUUAGAUAAAAUUGAAAAUUUUAUUUCCUUAGUCACACUACCCACAAGUGGCUAGUUGGUCAUGUUAUUGGAUAGUGAAGAUGUUGAAUAUUGCCAUCAUUGAAGAGAGCUCUAUAGGACAUGCUGAAAGAGAACCAACAAGCAAUAUUUUAGAAGAAAUAAAGAGAAAUUUUAAAAGGCAAAUUCAAAUUUUGCAUCAACUAAAAUGUAGGGAAAAAAGGACAGGGAUGAGGAAGAAGUACAACAGGAAGAGAGUCUUUGAAGAGGAACAACAAAACAAAACAAAACUCCUUACUUCAGAAGAAACAGAUUAAUCUGAGGUGCCCCGAUUCUAAUACAGGUUUCUCUCACUAUCCAAAAGUAGAGCGUUCCCACAAAUUCUUUCAUAGACCAUAAUGGCAUAAAGUGAAAGAACGAUUACCAUUUCAUAAAGCAAAAGUCCUCUUUAGAUUUCUUUCAGUUAGUGAAAUCAGGUACUAAUGUAGGGUUUUCGUAAAAGUAAAGUGGCAUAAAGUGAACUUCUGGGUGGUGGGGAAAGCCCAUAGCUCCAUAAAUAUUACAGACCCUCAUAUCCAUCUACCUUCACUUCACUUGCUUGGGGUCCAGUUUCAAUCCCACAGUCCUCUAGAAUAACCACUCCCUUUCUGACACCAUAAAUUCUGAGUUCUCUUUUUAUGCCAUCAUACUUCUUAGCAAUAACACCACUCUGCAGCAUCCAAGUCUUCGCUUCCUCAUGCCUGCACCUGUGUAGCUGAAUGUGGCUGGAGAAAAGCCUAUUAUCAUGCUGACUGGUUGCACAUUAAAGUCCUGAAAAUUAAGCUUGUGUCUUUAAUGCCCACAACACUAACAAGCAAUCAUAGAACAUUUCUGUUGUCCAUGCAUUCUCCCUUUUUUAGGUAACUUCCUGCACCUAUGUCCAUAUGCUCUCCUCUCCCUUCUGUUACUGGGGGUUAAUGGUCCUUUGAGGCCAGCCCUCUACCCAGGCACUGCAUCUACUGGCUUUCUGCUACUCAAGUCACUCCAGAAAUCAUCCCAUUUCUUUCCUGCACCACCAAUUUAUUUCUUGGAGUAUUAUAAACAUUCUGAAAUUUCUUCCAUUUUAAAAAAAGUCUAUCUUCAUCCUUUAUUAGCUGUGUUUUAUAGAAAAUCUCCUUGGAAAAACUGCUUUUCUCUCUCCAGUUUUCUUAUAUUCUUAUAAUACCAAAUUAAUUAGAAUUCCUUUCUUUUUUCCUACUCCACCUUGAUGUAUCUUGUCAAGGACACCAAUAACUUCUAUAGUUAAAUUUAAUGACAAUUUUAUUGGGAUCCCUGGGUGGUGCAGUGGUUUAGCACCUGCCUUUGGCCCAGGGCGCGAUCCUGGAGACCCGGGAUCGAAUCCCACGUCGGGCUCCUGGCGCAUGGAGCCUGCUUCUUCCUCUGCCUGUGUCUCUGCCUCUCUCUCUCUCUCUGUGACUAUCAUAAAUUAAAAAAAAAUGACAUUUUUAUUAUUAUUAUUUUUUUUAAUGACAAUUUUUAACCCUCAUUUUAUCUGUCAGCAACAUUUGGUUCAGUGGAUCAAUUGCUUUAAACACUUUUUUUUUUUUUUUUUCAGUUUCUUCCAAGGCAGCCCACUCUCCUGGUCUUUUAUGUCAUUGAUUACUAUGUUUCAGUCUCUUCUCUCAGACCUCAUUCUCAUGGCUUCCAUUAUCUAUGUCCAUCCUAUAUCUCCCCCCAGUCCUCCAGACUCAAUAUCCUACUGCCUUCUGUCCUCUCCAUUCAGACAUCUAACAGCCAUGCACAUCCAAAUGUACUCUUGAAACAUCUUCACUACUUUGGUUUAUGGCAACUCCCCCAACAGCUGGAGUCUGCCUCAUCUCUUAUCUGUCUCUCAACAUCACACAGACACCCAUCUGCCAAUCCUAUUGGCUCUAUCCUCAAAAUGUUUCUAGAGUCUGAACCCUUCUUACCACUGCCACCAUGUCUAUCAGGUUUCAGCCAGCAUUAUCUCUCACACACAUUAUUACAGAUCCUUCCUAACAGUUGUUCUUGCAUUCAUGCUUUGUCUUUAUGACUAUUCACUCCGCAGCUGUAACAGUACUAUUAAAACAGGGUCAGAUCAUGGCUGGUGAAAUUUCUCUGUUCAUUAAGCUCCAAGACUUCUCCUUUCACUCAGUGAAAACCAGAAUCAUUACAGUGGCCUGUGAGAACCUACAAAAUCUUCACCCUCCCCCUAAAUUCCAAUACCCUUAUCUUAUUAUUCUCAUCUUGUACUUCUCUCCCUUGUACUUUAUCAGAAAAACUGAUACACUUGUUGUCCUUUGAACUUGCCAGGCAUUACUCAGGGUACUUGUUUAUUUUUGUUUGCCUCCACUUGGAGCAUUCUCCUAGAUAUUCACAUACUUCAGACAUUCUGGAUAUUUAUUAAAAUGUUCCUUAGUAUAGGAUUGUGAGAGAAAAGAGAACAAAUGCAAUCUUUUGCCCAAGAGACUCUGGUGACUUGUCCAAGAACUGGGUUUAUAGAAGAAAAUCAUCCAGGGAUAGAAUUUCCACUUAACACUCAUCUUAUAAAUUUUGAAAAAUGGGUGAUGUCUUAGUUGGAUGAUGAAUUGUAAUAAAGCUUAGAUCAUUUACAUUAUAUUAUGGUAUAUAUAUGAUAUGUAUAAAGUACAAUACUAUAUACCAUAUUAUGCUAUAUAAAUAAAUGAUGAUUACCACUCACUCUCUCCUGUAUAUAUACACAUAUGCACACACACAUACAGACAUGGAAGGAAAUUAACAAUAUUAAAGACUAGAAGACCUUUCCCAUUAUAAAAAGAAGCACUAUGCUUUGUAAAUAAUUUUAUGAAGAUAAUAGAAUUGGAGGUAACCACAUUGUGGCUCUAUGCUUAAAUACUUGAAUUGAUCUCCUCAGAAAGAAUUUCAGGGGCUUAUUUAUAUAAAUAUGCUAACAGUCUGGAACAAACAUAAUAAAACAUGAUUUAGGCCAGUAGACUUUGGACUAUUUAUUUAUUUAUGUAUUUAAUAUCUAUCCAUUUAUUCAUGAGAGACACAGAGAGAGACGCAGAGACACAGGCAGAGGGAGAAGUAGGCUCCCCACAGGGAACCCUAAGCAGGACUCAAUCUGGGAUUCCAGGGUCACACCCUGAGCAAAGGCAGAUGCUCAACCACUGAGCCACCAGGUGUCCCUGAACAAUUUAUUUUCUCUAGGAAAGAAAAUAGAUAAUAAUAAUAUCCAAAAUAAUAACCAAAAUCAGUUCCUUGAAAUCUCAGAUUAUAGUGACAUGAAAAGAUAAAUAAAUUCCUAUUAGUACAUGAAAGGUUUAGAAAUUCAGGGAAACUGAUCAAACCUCUUUGUCCCAUUCAGUCUUUCAAGUGUUAGAGCUGUGGCAUUAGCUUUCAGAGAUAAAAGGAAAACCAUAGCAAGUGAUAUAACCAUCUCCUGAUACUUUUUAAUGAGAAGAAAAAAGAAAAUUAGCAUUUGUUGAGAGGAUACAAUGUACCAGGCAUCAUUUUUUUUUUUAAAUUUUUAUUUAUUUAUGAUAAUCACAGAGAGAGAGAGAGAGAGAGGCAGAGACACAGGCAGAGGGAGAAGCAGGCUCCAUGCGCCGGGAGCCGAUGUGGGAUUCGAUCCCGGGUCUCCAGGAUCGCGCCCCGGGCCAAAGGCAGGCGCCAAACCGCUGCGCCACCCAGGGAUCCCUGUACCAGGCAUCAUGAUAAGAUUUUAAUGUGAUAGUCCUUGGGGCGCCUGAGUGGCUCAGUCCAGUAAGUGUCUGCCUUUGUUUCAUUUCAUGAUCCCAGGGUCCUGGGAUUGAGUCCCACAUUGGGCUCCCUGCUCAGAAGGGGGUCUACCUCUCCCUCUCCCUGUGCUCCCCUCGCCCUCAUUAGCACUCUUUCCCAAAUAAAUAAAAUCUUGAAAAAAAAAGUGAUAGUCCUCAAAAUGGUCCAUGUGGUGGAUAAUGUUAUCUCUUCUUAAAGAUGAAGAAACUGAAGUUUAGGAUCCAGGUAAGAUUGAUAUCAUGUGCUGUUCAUUACAGAGCCGGUGCUCCUCCUCUUCCACCAUUUUGGAGAAUUUAAAGACAAACUGAAAACCUUAGUGGAAACUAUAGUAUUCAAAUGACAAAUACAUGAAUUUGUAUAUUAGGAAC